AGCUGCUGCUCAUGUUCAACAAGAUCCGGUGGAGAUUAAUUUAUCUCAGCCUCAUUUGUCACAAGAUAGUGACAUGGAGUUGAUGGUCCCUGCAACUAUUGUUCCACCAAUAGCAAGGAAUAAGCUAACCAUAACAAGAGCCAAACAAAGGAAGGUUGCUGAUAAAGAUGAUGCAGAAAACUGAAGAAGCAUUUUUUGUUGCAUUUUGAAGGUUGCUGAAGGUUGCUGAAGACCCAUUUUUUGUUGCGCAUUUUGAAGGUUGCUGAGUUUGAAGGUUGCUGAUGAAGAAAACUGAAGAAGCAUUUUUUGUUGCAUUUUGAUAUUAGGAUGUGUAGUUGUAUAUUUUGAAAGCUUCACUGGCAUGUGAAAUGAUGUAAACAUUAUGGCCUACUGAACAAUUGCUUCUAACUACCAUGCUUUGGGAUGUCAAAUAUUAUGUGAAAUUGAUCUAAAGUCAUGUUUCUUCUCUUUCUUUUAUAAAUUAUACACUGUGUUGGAUUU
Molecule: long non-coding RNA, 501 nt
Organism: Glycine soja
Lineage: Eukaryota; Viridiplantae; Streptophyta; Magnoliopsida; Fabales; Fabaceae
Exons: 2
Source: RefSeq, a predicted model, not a curated record